This 253-nucleotide ribosomal RNA is filed under the name uncultured bacterium. RNAcentral's name for it is "partial 16S ribosomal RNA". It matches the Rfam family "Bacterial small subunit ribosomal RNA", at positions 524 to 776 of the family's 1533-position model. The record is from RNAcentral.
UACAGAGGGUGCAAGCGUUAAUCGGAAUUACUGGGCGUAAAGCGUGCGCAGGCGGUUUUGUAAGACAGGCGUGAAAUCCCCGGGCUUAACCUGGGAACUGCGUUUGUGACUGCAAGGCUAGAGUACGGCAGAGGGGGGUGGAAUUCCACGUGUAGCAGUGAAAUGCGUAGAGAUGUGGAGGAACACCAAUGGCGAAGGCAGCCCCCUGGGUCGAUACUGACGCUCAUGCACGAAAGCGUGGGUAGCAAACAGG